Long non-coding RNA from Sphaeramia orbicularis (orbiculate cardinalfish), 189 nucleotides. RefSeq lists it as uncharacterized. The transcript has 3 exons. The record is from RefSeq and is a predicted model, not a curated record. NCBI's taxonomy places the organism in Eukaryota, Metazoa, Chordata, Actinopteri, Kurtiformes, Apogonidae.
UAUUAACCUUCCGGUGUCCUGGUGAGCGUAUUAUGCACUCUUUGCACUUCACGUUAUAAAAAGUUAUAUUAUUUUUCACAGUUUUUUAGUACGUUAGAAUUCAAGAGUUGUUCAUUUUUGCAAGAUUUUUAAAAUUCUGACCCAGCCACUAAAAUCAGCACACUGUAAACAAUAGAAAAUUACUACACU